RNAcentral lists this ribosomal RNA (367 nucleotides) under Rhizobium sp. Voro9. RNAcentral's name for it is "bacterial SSU rRNA". It matches the Rfam family "Bacterial small subunit ribosomal RNA", at positions 406 to 788 of the family's 1533-position model. Lineage: Bacteria; Pseudomonadati; Pseudomonadota; Alphaproteobacteria; Hyphomicrobiales; Rhizobiaceae. The record is from RNAcentral.
UGAUGAAAGGCCUUAGGGUUGUAAAGCUCUUUUACCCGGGAUGAUAAUGACAGUACCGGGAGAAUAAGCUCCGGCUAACUCCGUGCCAGCAGCCGCGGUAAUACGGAGGGAGCUAGCGUUGUUCGGAAUUACUGGGCGUAAAGCGCACGUAGGCGGCUUUGUAAGUUAGAGGUGAAAGCCUGGAGCUCAACUCCAGAAUUGCCUUUAAGACUGCAUCGCUCGAAUCCGGGAGAGGUGAGUGGAAUUCCGAUGUGUAGAGGUGAAAUUCGUAGAUAUUCGGAAGAACACCAGUGGCGAAGGCGGCUCACUGGACCGGUAUUGACGCUGAGGUGCGAAAGCGUGGGGAGCAAACAGGAUUAGAUACCCU